GUGAGAGCACGACCCGCGCCACUGGCACUGAGACACUGGCCAGACUCCUACGGGAGGCUGCAGUCGAGGAUCUUCGGCAAUGGGCGCAAGCCUGACCGAGCGACGCCGCGUGCGCGAUGAAGGCCUUCGGGUUGUAAAGCGCUGUCGAGGGGGAGGAAGACCCGAAAGGGUUUGACCUAUCCCUGGAGGAAGCACGGGCUAAGUUCGUGCCAGCAGCCGCGGUAAGACGAACCGUGCGAACGUUGUUCGGAAUCACUGGGCUUAAAGGGCGCGUAGGCGGGCCUCCCAGUCCGAGGUGAAAGCUUUCGGCUUAACCGGAAAAGUGCCUUGGAUACUGGAGGUCUUGAGGGAGGUAGGGGCAGCUGGAACUUCCGGUUGAGCGGUGAAAUGCGUUGAUAUCGGAAGGAACGCCGGUGGCGAAAGCGAGCUGCUGGAUCUCUACUGACGCUGAGGCGCGAAAGCCAGGGGAGCGAACGGGAUUAGAUACCCCGGUAGUCCUGGCCCUAAACGAUGGGUACUGGGUAGGGGACUGGACAUGGGUUCCCUGCCGCAGCGAAAGUGGUAAGUACCCCGCCUGGGGAGUAUGGUCGCAAGGCUGAAACUCAAAGGAAUUGACGGGGGCUCACACAAGCGGUGGAGCAUGUGGCUUAAUUCGAGGCUACGCGAAGAACCUUAUCCUGGGCUUGACAUGUGCGAAAGCGGUGGGGAGUAGGGAGCGGAAACGUUUCCCCAACGGUAUCCAGUCCGGAACCCACUACAGGUGCUGCAUGGCUGUCGUCAGCUCGUGUCGUGAGAUGUUGGGUUAAGUCCCGUAACGAGCGAAACCCUUGUCUCCAGUUGCCAGCGGGUCAUGCCGGGGACUCUGGAGAGACUGCCGGUGUUAAACCGGAGGAAGGCGGGGAUGACGUCAAGUCCUCAUGGCCUUUAUGCCCAGGGCUGCACACGUGCUACAAUGGCGUGAACAAAGGGACGCAAACCCGCGAGGGGGAGCCAAUCCCAAAAAACACGCCCCAGUUCAGAUCGAAGGCUGCAACUCGCCUUCGUGAAGUCGGAAUCGCUAGUAAUCGCGGGUCAGCAACACCGCGGUGAAUGUGUUCCUGAGCCUUGUACACACCGCCCGUCAAGCCACGAAAGAUCGGGGCGUCCGAAGUCGCUGUGCCAACCGCAAGGGGGCAGGCGCCGAAGACGAAACGGUCGAUUGGGACUAAGUCGGAACAAGGUA
This 1222-nucleotide ribosomal RNA is filed under the name metagenome. Its description in RNAcentral is "bacterial SSU rRNA". It matches the Rfam family "Bacterial small subunit ribosomal RNA", at positions 292 to 1498 of the family's 1533-position model. The record is from RNAcentral.